RNAcentral lists this ribosomal RNA (198 nucleotides) under uncultured soil bacterium. RNAcentral's name for it is "partial 16S ribosomal RNA". It matches the Rfam family "Bacterial small subunit ribosomal RNA", at positions 26 to 252 of the family's 1533-position model. The record is from RNAcentral.
AGAACGAACGCUGGCGGCAUGCCUAAUACAUGCAAGUCGAACGAACUCUUCGGAGUUAGUGGCGCACGGGUGCGUAACGCGUGGGAAUCUGCCCUUGGGUUCGGAAUAACAGUUGGAAACGACUGCUAAUACCGGAUGAUGACGAAAGUCCAAAGAUUUAUCGCCCAGGGAUGAGCCCGCGUAGGAUUAGCUAGUUGG